This 451-nucleotide ribosomal RNA is filed under the name uncultured bacterium. Its description in RNAcentral is "partial 16S ribosomal RNA". It matches the Rfam family "Bacterial small subunit ribosomal RNA", at positions 29 to 523 of the family's 1533-position model. The record is from RNAcentral.
AACGAACGCUGGCGGCAGGCUUAACACAUGCAAGUCGAACGGGCAUAGCAAUAUGUCAGUGGCAGACGGGUGAGUAACACGUGGGAACCUUCCUAGAGGUACGGAACAACGCAGGGAAACUUGUGCUAAUACCGUAUACGCUCGAGAGAGGAAAGAUUUAUCGCCUUUAGACGGGCCCGCGUAGGAUUAGGUAGUUGGUGAGGUAACGGCUCACCAAGCCUACGAUCCUUAGCUGAUCUGAGAGGAUGAUCAGACAAACUGGGACUGAGACACGGCCCAGACUCCUACGGGAGGCAGCAGUGGGGAAUCUUGGACAAUGGGCGCAAGCCUGAUCCAGCCAUGCCGCGUGAGUGAAGAAGGCCUUCGGGUUGUAAAGCUCUUUUACCAGGGACGAUAAUGACGGUACCUGGAGAAUAAGCCCCGGCUAACUUCGUGCCAGCCGCCGCAGUAA